UGGGGAAUUUUGGACAAUGGGCGCAAGCCUGAUCCAGCCAUGCCGCGUGCGGGAAGAAGGCCUUCGGGUUGUAAACCGCUUUUGUCAGGGAAGAAAUCUUCUGAGUUAAUACCUCGGGAGGAUGACGGUACCUGAAGAAUAAGCACCGGCUAACUACGUGCCAGCAGCCGCGGUAAUACGUAGGGUGCAAGCGUUAAUCGGAAUUACUGGGCGUAAAGCGUGCGCAGGCGGUUUUGUAAGACAGAGGUGAAAUCCCCGGGCUCAACCUGGGAACUGCCUUUGUGACUGCAAGGCUUGAGUGCGGCAGAGGGGGGAUGGAAUUCCGCGUGUAGCAGUGAAAUGCGUAGAUAUGCGGAGGAACACCGAUGGCGAAGGCAAUCCCCCUAGGCCUGCACUGACGCUCAUGCACGAAAGCGUGGGGAGCAAACAGGAUUAGAUACCCUGGUAGUCCACGCCCUAAACGAUGUCAACUGGUUGUUGGGAAGGUUCCUUCUCAGUAACGUAGCUAACGCGUGAAGUUGACCGCCUGGGGAGUACGGCCGCAAGGUUG
This 550-nucleotide ribosomal RNA is filed under the name uncultured bacterium. RNAcentral's name for it is "partial 16S ribosomal RNA". It matches the Rfam family "Bacterial small subunit ribosomal RNA", at positions 355 to 896 of the family's 1533-position model. The record is from RNAcentral.